CCAUAUCUGCCUUCUCUUUGGCGAGUCGAUCAUACUUCCUCUUCCAAAACUUGGAAGACUGAGGAAGUAGAGAAGUCAAUGCAUCAUCAGGAUCAUCAAUAACCUGGUGCUCAAGGAACUCUAUCAAAGCAUCCUUCUCCUUGAUCUGCUGAAGCAACUCCUCUCGUUCACGGAUCCAAGCACGUGAACGGUCUUCGUCUCUCAACUCCUCUACUCCUUGGCUAGGGAGGGUUGAAGGCC
This 240-nucleotide long non-coding RNA is filed under the name Lathyrus oleraceus (garden pea). RNAcentral's name for it is "Pisum sativum (pea) long non-coding RNA (PSAT_LNC005462)". Lineage: Eukaryota; Viridiplantae; Streptophyta; Magnoliopsida; Fabales; Fabaceae. The record is from RNAcentral.